AUUGAACGCUGGCGGCAUGCCUAACACAUGCAAGUCGAGCGGAUGAAGGGAGCUUUCUCCUGGAUUCAGCGGCGGACGGGUGUGUAAUGCCUAGGAAUCUGCCUGGUAGUGGUUGAUAACGUCCGUAAACGGGCGCUAAUACCGCAUGCUUCCUGAGGGAGAAAGUUGGGGUUCUUCGGACCUCACGCUUUCGGGUGAGCCUCGGUCGCUUUAGCUAGUUGGUUGGGUUAAUGCCUACCCAGGCGACGAUCCGUAACCGGUCUGAGAGGCUGGUCAGUCACACUGGAAGUGAGACAGGGUCAAUACGACUAAGGGACGCAGCAGUGGGGAAUGGUAGACAAUGGGGGAAAGCAUGAUACAGCGAUGGCGAGUGUGAGACGAAGGUCUUCGGAUUGUAAAGCACGUUAAGUUGGGGGGAAGGGCAGUAAGUUAAUACCUUGCUGUUUUGACGGUACCAAGAGAAGAAGCACCGGCUAACUACGUG
This 484-nucleotide ribosomal RNA is filed under the name uncultured bacterium. Its description in RNAcentral is "partial 16S ribosomal RNA". It matches the Rfam family "Bacterial small subunit ribosomal RNA", at positions 30 to 507 of the family's 1533-position model. The record is from RNAcentral.